AUGGAUUGGUGGCCUUCGGGAACGUCUGACACAGGUGCUGCAUGGCUGUCGUCAGCUCGUGUCGUGAGAGUGUUGGGUUAAGUCCCGUAACGAGCGCAACCCUUGUCCUUAGUUACCAGCACGUUAUGGUGGGCACUCUAAGGAGACUGCCGGUGACAAACCGGAGGAAGGUGGGGAUGACGUCAAGUCAUCAUGGCCCUUACGGCCUGGGCUACACACGUGCUACAAUGGUCGGUACAGAGGGUUGCCAAGCCGCGAGGUGGAGCUAAUCCCAUAAAACCGAUCGUAGUCCGGAUCGCAGUCUGCAACUCGACUGCGUGAAGUCGGAAUCGCUAGUAAUCGUGAAUCAGAAUGUCACGGUGAAUACGUUCCCGGGCCUU
This 380-nucleotide ribosomal RNA is filed under the name uncultured Pseudomonas sp. RNAcentral describes it as "bacterial SSU rRNA". It matches the Rfam family "Bacterial small subunit ribosomal RNA", at positions 1005 to 1382 of the family's 1533-position model. Lineage: Bacteria; Pseudomonadati; Pseudomonadota; Gammaproteobacteria; Pseudomonadales; Pseudomonadaceae. The record is from RNAcentral.